Molecule: ribosomal RNA, 35 nt
Filed under: Phellinus sp. 55-1
Lineage: Eukaryota; Fungi; Basidiomycota; Agaricomycetes; Hymenochaetales; Hymenochaetaceae
Description: partial 18S ribosomal RNA
Source: RNAcentral
CCCCCGAUGGGAUNUCCUGAUUUGAGGUCAACAGU